AUGGACAAGCACAGUGCAUACAACAUUUUGAAAAUUGAGGCCAGACGCUCCCUAUCAUCUCAGCAAAGACACUAAUUCAGCAGAGCUGGCCAGCGAAUCUUCGACAGGAAUUGAGGAUCUGAGCAACUGGGAAAAAAGGGAUGAAUGGACAUACAAAUAAGAGGAGAAGGAAAGGGGAAAGAGAUGAAGGAAGAGGAGAAGGAAAGGGGAAAGAGAUGAAGGAAGAAAAGAAGGAAAGAAGAAAGGAAGGAAGGAAAACAGAAAGGAAGGAAAGAAGGAGAGCAAAAUAUUUUCUGCCACUGGGGAGGAAAAAAGGAUUAGAGAGACUAUCAAAAAC
This 337-nucleotide long non-coding RNA is filed under the name Homo sapiens (human). RNAcentral describes it as "HSALNT0286040". The record is from RNAcentral. Lineage: Eukaryota; Metazoa; Chordata; Mammalia; Primates; Hominidae.